GUUUAACAAAAACAUUUCUUUAAGUGAUAUUUUAAAGUAAAACCUGCUCAAUGAAUAAUUAAAAAGCCGCAGUAAUUUAACUGUGCUAAGGUAGCAUAAUCAUUAGCCUCUUAAUUAGAGGCUAGAAUGAAAGGUUUAACAUUUCCUUAACUUUCUUAGAAAUUAAUAUAAAACUUAUAUUAAAUAUAAAAAUAUAUUUAUAUAUUAAUUAGACGACAAGACCCUUUCAAACUUUACUGUAGUUUAGCUGGGGUAGCUAAAUAAUAAUUAUCUUAUUAAUAUUAAUUAAAUAGAUCCAAUCUAAAUUGAUUAAGUGAACAAGUUACUGAAGGGAUAACAGCAUAAUAAAUUUAUAUAGCUCUUAUUAAAAAAUUAGUUUAUGACCUCGAUGUUGAAUUAUUUUACUUUUACACGCAAGAGUGCGAGAAGUAGGUCUGUUCGACCUUUAAAUUUUUACAUGAUCUGAGUUCAAACCGGAGAGG
RNAcentral lists this ribosomal RNA (482 nucleotides) under Tetragnatha laboriosa. RNAcentral's name for it is "partial 16S ribosomal RNA". It matches the Rfam family "Bacterial large subunit ribosomal RNA", at positions 1802 to 2624 of the family's 2925-position model. The record is from RNAcentral. Lineage: Eukaryota; Metazoa; Arthropoda; Arachnida; Araneae; Tetragnathidae.